Molecule: long non-coding RNA, 2518 nt
Filed under: Equus caballus (horse)
Lineage: Eukaryota; Metazoa; Chordata; Mammalia; Perissodactyla; Equidae
Description: lncRNA (ENSECAG00000035438.3)
Source: RNAcentral
UACCUGGAACAGCACGCAGUACUUACAUGUGGACUGAAUGAAUGAAUGUCUUGCAGAAACUUUCAAAGCUCCAUAAUAUCACCAGGCAGCAAAUCCUCACGAAGACAGCAUAUAUGCAGACUAAUCAUAGUAGCAGAUAUUUACCUGGGGCUUACCACAUGCUGAAACACUUGACAUUUAUAUUUAAUUCUCUUAAUCCUGACAGGGUGGUGAGGAUGGGAAUUCUAUUACAUUAUUCUCCCAUUUUACAGAUAAGGGCAUGGAGCACAGUGGGAAAAGUAGGUUGCCCGUGACCACACAGGGGAUAAGGGGUUGCCUGCCUGCACACAGGCAACGUAACUCCCAACCCUAAGCACUGCUCACUAAGCUGGGCUGCUAACCUCAGAGAAAGCCCCGUCCUGGGACAUAAAGGAGAUCGCGUCCACGCUGGCUUCUGGAAGAUCCACCCUGUGAAGCUUCCGGUUGUCUAUUUUGGUUUCUUUUAUACUGUUUGUUGAGCUCUGGUCAUAUGUUCAACGUCAGGAGGAAAGAGAACCAAUUGUGAUCUGGCAAGAAUUAGGAGAGAGCCAAAGAAAGAAGAUGGAGGCAGCCAAUGAAGACCUCCAACAGAACCACUGUCUUCUGUGUCUGCCCAUUCGUCCAUUUGUUGUUCACUCCACAGACGUUUUUUGAGCACCUAACCACGGCCAGGCACCAUUCCAGGCCCAUUUGUCUAAACACUACAAAGGCACAGGGCAUGGUGGGAGCAUAUGGAGUGCCAAGGCUAGAAGAAGGACGCUGCUUUAUAGGCUCCAUGUGGGUGUCCGGGAGCAGGGUGUUCCAGGCAGUCGGGGCAAGGAGCGUGUCUCGGACGAAGGGAGCAGUGUGGAGGGGCGACGUCAGGGGAAAAGGGAGAGCCUUACAGGUGCUGUAAGGGGUUUGGAUUUUACUCUGAGUGGGCGGGAAGCCAUGGUUUGACUUACGUGUUUAGAGAGUCUGGCUGCUCAGAGACCAUGGGAGCAGAGCAGCUGUGGCAGUGGUUCUGCCCCCUAGUGGGCAGUGGACAAUGUCUGGAGGUGUUUUUGGUUGUCACAACUUGGGGUGGAGGCAUGCGCUCCAGGCAUCUGGUGGAUAGAGGCCAGGGAUGCUGCUAACCGUCCUACAGUGCACACAAAAGCCCCACAACAGAGAAUUACCCAGCCCCGAAUGUCGGUAGUGCUGAGGUUGAGAAAUGCACAGUUAGGGGAUCACUAGAGUGAUCUAGGUGAGAGAUUUACUCAUUAAAUAGCUACUGAGCACCUCCUAUGUGCCAGAUGAUGUACCACGAGCUGAAGAUACCACCACAAACAAAACAGACAAGGUCUGUGUGCUCCCCAAGCUUAUGUUGCAGGGAUGGUGGGAGCUCAGAACAGGAUGCAGGUAGCAGGGUGGUGAGGAUGGUUAGAUUUUCAAAACAUCUUUUGAAGGUGAAACUGACAGGACUUCCUCAGGACUGGAUGUGCAGUGUGAGAGGACGAGGAGUCAAAUUGACCCCAAGGCUUUAGCAAUUAGAACAGGGUUGACACUUACUGAGACGAGGACCACUGGGAGAGAAAAUGAUUUUGGGGGUUGGGGAAAUCAGGGGUUUCGUUUUGGAGAUAUUAAGUGGAGAUGAGGUCAACUGGCUAUUCUAGUUCUAGUCCACUGGUUUAAAGAAAAAGAUCUCUUUUGCAGGAGACAAAAUUUUAGAAAUUGGCAAGUAUGAAGAAGAGCUCUCAGGGAUUCAGUGUAGAUGUAAGAAUAUGGCCAAGAGAUCCUCGCACCAAGCCCGAGCUCUCCACCACGGGAAGCUGGGGAGGAGCAAGCAAGAGAGGAUGAGGUGGCAAGAUCUCCACACUAAUUUCUCCCUCAGAGGAAAUACGACAUCCACGGAAGCCUCUGCCACAUCCAAAGAAGGAAUUAAUCCAUCAGUACUCAUUGAGUGUCUACUAUAGUCACAGCACUCUGCUCCUGGUUGAAAAUAUACAAGAGAAAGAUUAAAAGACCCAGUUCAAUACGUCUGUCUGCGGAAGGGGAAAUGAAGCAUCUGCUUGGUGCCUCCAUUAGGAAGAUGACUUACGACAGGCAGCUGUCAGGCAAGGCGUCUGCAUUCUGACGGAGCCGGCUAGACCAUGGAGCUGAAAGCCUUCAAGAAGCCAAUGAAAGUCCCAGAACCUUAGCCCAGCCCUUCCCCACCCGCUCCCCCAGAAGCAACGUGAACAUGGGUGCCCACAUACACACAACUGUGAGAAUAAUUUCAGCGUUUUCGAGCUUCCUCACCCCCAAGGUCCAGACCCGGAUGCCACAUCUAUCAGUUCUGAGCUGUGUGAUGUGGGUGGAAUUACUCGCUGUCCUCCUUUGUAAGAUGGGCAUGCACGAACCACACCCAGCUCAUGGGUUUGUUCUGAAGAUGACAUGAGCAGCUGGAGCUGGAGCCCUGGGCACGGCACCUUGCCCAUACUGGGAGCUGGUCAUUAUUAGCUGGUAUUCUCAUGCCCAGGCCAGGAGUUUAAGAUUCCCC